Molecule: ribosomal RNA, 774 nt
Filed under: uncultured Neocallimastigales
Lineage: Eukaryota; Fungi; Neocallimastigomycota; Neocallimastigomycetes; Neocallimastigales
Description: partial large subunit ribosomal RNA
Rfam family: Eukaryotic large subunit ribosomal RNA
Source: RNAcentral
AGAGAGAGACAUGCGCGCAUAUCAAUAAGCGGAGGAAAAGAAACUAACAAGGAUUCCCCUAGUAACGGCGAGUGAAGCGGGAAGAGCUCAAAUUUGAAAUCUUAAAGGGUUUCCCUUUACGAAUUGUAGUUUAAAGAAGUGUUUUCUGUUGAGGUUUUGGUAAAAGUUCUUUGGAAUAGGACAUCAUAGAGGGUGAGAAUCCCGUAUUUGACCUUUACUUUCAACUUUGUGAUACACUUUCAAAGAGUCGGAUUGUUUGGGAAUGCAGUCCAAAAUGGGUGGUAAAUUUCAUCUAAAGCUAAAUAUUGGCGAGAGACCGAUAGCGAACAAGUACCGUGAGGGAAAGAUGAAAAGAACUUUGAAAAGAGAGUUAAACAGUACGUGAAAUUGUCAAAAGGGAAGCGUUUGACACCAGUGUUGUUUUUCUGAAAAUCAAUUAAAGAACUGUUUAUGCUAAGCUGUUUAGACUUUAUCAGCUAUCUGUUUAGUUUUGAGCUUUUCUUUAACGCACUUUUCAGUUAACAAGUCAACAUCAAUUUCUUUUGCUGUAAAAAAGCUUGAGGAAGGUGGCUUGAGAUUCGUCUUAAGUGUUUAUAGCCUCUUGCCUAUGCAGUCGGAGAGAUUGAGGUCUGCAGCGUAGAUCCUUCGGGGCUAAAUGCAUUUGUGCUAAGUUAUAGCAUUUUAUAGACAACUUGUUGACUAUGAUUUGUCUUGUAGCUUACUCGCUUAUGUUAUUUUACCUACGCUUAGGAUGUUGACGCAUGAGAUAUACGC